This 3200-nucleotide unclassified non-coding RNA is filed under the name Leishmania donovani. RNAcentral's name for it is "gene:LdHU3.36.3530(CDS-product:hypothetical_prote in_conserved)". The record is from RNAcentral. Lineage: Eukaryota; Euglenozoa; Kinetoplastea; Trypanosomatida; Trypanosomatidae.
UACGUGGCUUGACGCAUCGAGUUUGAAAGCGAACGCAGGCUCCGCAAACAUCAACUCCAGGUGGCAGACUCUACUGUCAGCGCUGUUGUGCACUGAAGCCAAGUACUGCAUGCGCAAAUACGGCAACGCCCUGAUGUGUCUGUGCGUGUUAGCUACUUGGGCACACUGUCACCGCCACUCCACCCUUUGAUCUCCUCUCCCCCCCCCCACUUCCUCCCUCACUUCUCCACGCGCCUUAAGUCAGACGGCCAGUAGCAAGGGCGGCAACAAACUUAAAUCCUACGCUGUGCGCCCAUUCUGUCCUCACUGCGCUCACCUGCUCACUCUCUGGGAAGCCGCAUAGCAGCAGUGUAGGGACAGGCGCGCCAAUAUACACGCAAGCAGCUCUGUGCGGGCACGCACUGUGUUUCGGUUUUUUUCCUGCUUCCUUGUCCCGUUGAGCCUGGGAUGGAGGUGCAUAUUUAGCAAACAAGCGAAAAAGAAGCACCUUUGUAUUGGGCGCAAUGCAGGAUUGGCAGAUCGCCGUGCUCGUCGUCGUCAUCGUCGUCUUCGUGGCGCUGGCGACGCCGCUUAUCUUUCUUAUUUACCGCUUUGGUAGCAACCGACGCCGCUACUCCUCGAAAAGAACGAACACGACCACCUCCCGCUACGCCGAUAGCAGCUGUUGCGCCAAGCAUAACAUCGUUGACGCCGGAGAUGCCUUUGGCCAGCUGUUCCGCGGUGACCCGCGCAUUCAUCCCAGUACCCAUCUGCUUUACUUUCUGGACUUUCAAGGAGAGCUGCACUGGAUCGACUUCAAUAAGAAACCGGCAGCAAAGAUCGAUACCGAGUCGGCGCUGCAGCAGUAUAUUUUCGAAAACUUUCAUCCUAUGGUCGAAGAGGGCAACAGGGUGGUGCCUUUGCCCCCUGAGAUGUUGGCUCUGUCGUACAUAAACGAUCAUCAGUCGCUGGUAGUGCUGGACCUGAAUCGCCUGCUCGCCCGUGACGCCGAGUUCGGUGCACGGAUGCGGCACACCGCAGAACGCCCGUUGCUGUUAUCGCGACUUGUGGCAGACGUCGCCGAUGGGGCCGUGUUCACAGCACUAAGUCGUUACGGCUACACUGUCGGGGACGCUUCCGUGCCGUCCGUCACUCAAACAGGCAUGCAGUGCCCGGCACUUGUCGCGGCGUCACCACCCCAGCAGCGUCAUCAGCGGAUUGAUGUAAACCUUAGCACAUCUCGCGCAAAUCCAAUAGCCGCGGCUCCAGCAGUUUCAGCCUCUAUGCCCGACACACACGUCCCUCCGCCGACGGUCCGGCCGCCCGUCGCUCCCCAUCUGUCCCCGCCAUCGAACUUCAGCUCUCCCUAUGCGUGCGACGCUUCCGGCAUGGCUCCCGUACCUGUCAUUCACCCGUGCGAUACGCAUCACAUCACGACCAGCACCCCCGUCUCCAUCACGGCAGCCUCUUACACGGUACUGAACGCCAACGGCAGUCGCACGGAGCUUGACGCGAUUAGCACAGCGAGGAUUGAAGGGGCGCGGCUCCGGUGGGACCGACGACAGAGCCUUGUGGUGCCGUUUAUGUCAGGGGUUUUGUCAGGGUACCAGUGCGUCAUUGAUCCGGUCACGGAGGAGGCGACACUCUCCACGGAGUCUGCAGCGCGCGCCGCGAACGUCAACGGCGUGGAGUCCAUCGUGUGUCGGCGUGCCGACGCCCUAUACUACACCGUCGAGCGCGUGAACUCGACGCAGUGGCUGCCAUUUGACAAGGCCUUCUACCUCCCGGCUGGGCGGUGGUGUGUGCGGGCCCGCGCCACGCUGUACUGCGACAACAGCAGCAAAACGAUCGCGAAGGUCUUCACGGUGACUGUGAUUUGACGCUUUGGGAAAAGAAUGGCGGGAAAGGGGAGCUGCACGGGAUUAUGCACGCCGCCGCCUGAUUCUCCUGCGGCCCUACCUCUUUCAUGGCACUGAACGAACGCGCUUGCUUACUCACAUGGAUGUCGACUGUAUUGCAUGCCCUCCUUCUUUUUUCGUCAUGCUUUGAAAAACUGCUAAGGUGGCCGUGAUGACAGGGGGACGCACCUGACUGCGUGGUAUCACAGGAUCCAGUGCCCCCACUCUAUGUGUGCGGAGGCCAAGCAGCGCCCCUCCACCCCCCCCCUCUAUCCCUGCCAAAAUGUGAAACCACCCCUGGUGGUUGCAGGGUCAUGCGCCUACGACAUGGGGGGAGGUCAGAGCGAUGCAUCACUGCUGAUAUCGGCGGGCAGGUCCUGGAUAGCGUUGCGCCGGUGCGAGGUGCAACACUGCACACGUGUGUACCAUCCAUGUGAUUAGGCAGAGUGUCGGCGUGGCCCAAACGUACCUCACCCGGCCACAGCGAGGGAUGCACCAGGUGACGGAAGGCACCAUGGGAUCGGCUGUGGGGCGGCCUGCGAGGCGGUGUGUGGGCAUAGUUUGAGGAAGGGGUCGUGCUCGAUGACUGAGUCAGCGCAUGGCUUGUACCACGUGUCUGCAGCUGCUUCGCACCACGCCGACGGGGGCCUGUGACAGGACAGGUAGACUGGAGUGGGAACUCGUGCUGAAUUGAAGAACGAAGACGUUUUUUUUCGUUAGAAAGCUGAGGUGGCAGACGCUGGAAGCCUUCCGUAUUACCACUGCUACUACGACGUCGACGCAGCUGUGAGUGCCUCGAGUGCUUUCGAGGUGGCUGCGCCGGAGCUUACCUAUCUUUCCGCGUUUCUUCCUCUGUUUUCGUUGUGUCUCUGUGGUCUGCUCUCAGGUUUGAAUUCACGAUGGUGGGAAAGUUUUUCUCUGCUUUGAUAGAUGUCCUGCUCACUAUGCGUGUACCUGUGAUUCUGUGUGUAUAGGUAGACAUAUAUAUAUAUAUAUGUAUGUGUAUGUAGUUUUGUGCAUGUGUAUGUGUACACUCGUUCACUUGGGAUCUGGAUGCACGGUUCGUUCUUAUUGCCUUUUUUUUUGCUCGGGGGAAUGCAGAGGGGAGGGAGGGUCUGUUGACGCAUGAGGGGGAAAGGACAUGUGCUCGCUUCUUUUGUUUCAUCCACUUUUUUUCAGCUGCUUUCCCCACACACAGACGUAGGCCUCCUCCCCUCCUCUUUUUUUGCUAAACGACCAAUCCUCUGCUCACUUCUCUGAUGUCUUCCCUCCGGUCCUCUCAUGGCACAUGCACGGCAUAUACGAGGAUGUACAAUGGCAACG